CGGCGUAUGGCGCAGCUUGGUAGCGCGCUUGCAUGGGGUGCAAGAGGUCGUGGGUUCAAGUCCCGCUACGCCGA
This 74-nucleotide transfer RNA is filed under the name Candidatus Flexifilum breve. RNAcentral's name for it is "tRNA-Pro". It matches the Rfam family "tRNA". Rfam says of the family: Transfer RNA (tRNA) molecules are approximately 80 nucleotides in length. Their secondary structure includes four short double-helical elements and three loops (D, anti-codon, and T loops). Further hydrogen bonds mediate the characteristic L-shaped molecular structure. tRNAs have two regions of fundamental functional importance: the anti-codon, which is responsible for specific mRNA codon recognition, and the 3' end, to which the tRNAs corresponding amino acid is attached (by aminoacyl-tRNA synthetases). tRNAs cope with the degeneracy of the genetic code in two manners: having more than one tRNA (with a specific anti-codon) for a particular amino acid; and 'wobble' base-pairing, i.e. permitting non-standard base-pairing at the 3rd anti-codon position. Lineage: Bacteria; Bacillati; Chloroflexota; Anaerolineae; Aggregatilineales; Candidatus Flexifilaceae. The record is from RNAcentral.